Molecule: transfer RNA, 73 nt
Filed under: Myotis brandtii (Brandt's bat)
Lineage: Eukaryota; Metazoa; Chordata; Mammalia; Chiroptera; Vespertilionidae
Rfam family: tRNA
About the family: Transfer RNA (tRNA) molecules are approximately 80 nucleotides in length. Their secondary structure includes four short double-helical elements and three loops (D, anti-codon, and T loops).
Source: Rfam by way of RNAcentral
GCCAGUUUGGCUCAGUGGACAGAGCAUUGGGCUGUGGACCGAAGGGUCCUGGGUUCAAUUCCAGGCAAGGGCA